Molecule: non-coding RNA, 25 nt
Filed under: Drosophila melanogaster (fruit fly)
Lineage: Eukaryota; Metazoa; Arthropoda; Insecta; Diptera; Drosophilidae
Source: RNAcentral
UUGAUUCCGAGGAACCAAUUGAUCC